GCAAGUCGAACGGCAGCGCGAAGUAGGUUUACCUAUUUUGGCGGCGAGUGGCGGAUGGGUGAGUAACGCGUAGGAAUCUACCUAGUAGCGAGGGAUAACUUAUGGAAACGUAAGCUAAUACCUCGUAAGUCCUAAGGGAGAAAGCAUGGGAUUCUUCGGAACCAUGCGCUAUUAGAUGAGCUUGCGUUGGAUUAGCUUGUUGGUGGGGUAAGAGCCUACCAAGGCGAUGAUCUAUAGCUGGCCUGAGAGGGCGAGC
This 256-nucleotide ribosomal RNA is filed under the name uncultured bacterium. Its description in RNAcentral is "partial 16S ribosomal RNA". It matches the Rfam family "Bacterial small subunit ribosomal RNA", at positions 57 to 305 of the family's 1533-position model. The record is from RNAcentral.